RNAcentral lists this ribosomal RNA (493 nucleotides) under uncultured bacterium. RNAcentral's name for it is "partial 16S ribosomal RNA". It matches the Rfam family "Bacterial small subunit ribosomal RNA", at positions 30 to 523 of the family's 1533-position model. The record is from RNAcentral.
AUUGAACGCUGGCGGCGUGCUUUACACAUGCAAGUCGAACGGUAACAGGUUAAGCUGACGAGUGGCGAACGGGUGAGUAAUGCAUCGGAACGUGCCCGGUCGUGGGGGAUAACACUUCGAAAGAAGUACUAAUACCGCAUACGAUCUGAGGAUGAAAGCGGGGGACAGUAAGGCCUCGCGCGAUCGGAGCGGCCGAUGUGAGAUUAGGUAGUUGGUGGGGUAAAGGCUCACCAAGCCGACGAUCUGUAGCUGGUCUGAGAGGUCGACCAGCCACACUGGGACUGAGACACGGCCCAGACUCCUACGGGAGGCAGCAGUGGGGAAUUUUGGACAAUGGGCGCAAGCCUGAUCCAGCAAUGCCGCGUGCAGGAAGAAGGCCUUCGGGUUGUAAACUGCUUUUGUACGGAGCGAAAAGGCUCCCUCUAAUACAGGGGGCUCAUGACGGUACCGUAAGAAUAAGCACCGGCUAACUACGUGCCAGCCGCCGCGGUAA